Molecule: long non-coding RNA, 253 nt
Filed under: Zea mays
Lineage: Eukaryota; Viridiplantae; Streptophyta; Magnoliopsida; Poales; Poaceae
Description: long non-coding RNA NONZMAT003000
Source: RNAcentral
UAGAAUUGCUUCAAUGUUGUUGAUGUGUUGUAUUGCUUGAGCCUCAUGACCUAUUUACAUAUGAGUACAUCAUUUAGGGGGCAUGUACUCUAAUAGAGUAACAUGCAUGGUAGUUGGUAGGUCUGUAGGUGCAUAGGGCAAUAGGUAGCUGCUAUGCAUCUUAUUGGGGGUUUUGGUGCUUUUCUUUUUGUGCUGAUGUCCUAUAAAAUGGUAUUUUGUGUAAAUGCAUAUUCAAUCCCCAUCUGGACAUUUC